RNAcentral lists this ribosomal RNA (497 nucleotides) under uncultured bacterium. RNAcentral's name for it is "partial 16S ribosomal RNA". It matches the Rfam family "Bacterial small subunit ribosomal RNA", at positions 28 to 507 of the family's 1533-position model. The record is from RNAcentral.
GAUGAACGCUGGCGGCGUGCCUAAUACAUGCAAGUCGAGCGAACAGACGAGGAGCUUGCUCCUCUGACGUUAGCGGCGGACGGGUGAGUAACAUGUGGAUAACCUACCUAUAAGACUGGGAUAACUUCGGGAAACCGGAGCUAAUACCGGAUAAUAUAUUGAACCGCAUGGUUCAAUAGUGAAAGACGGUUUUGCUGUCACUUAUAGAUGGAUCCGCGCCGCAUUAGCUAGUUGGUAAGGUAACGGCUUACCAAGGCAACGAUGCGUAGCCGACCUGAGAGGGUGAUCGGCCACACUGGAACUGAGACACGGUCCAGACUCCUACGGGAGGCAGCAGUAGGGAAUCUUCCGCAAUGGGCGAAAGCCUGACGGAGCAACGCCGCGUGAGUGAUGAAGGUCUUCGGAUCGUAAAACUCUGUUAUUAGGGAAGAACAAAUGUGUAAGUAACUAUGCACGUCUUGACGGUACCUAAUCAGAAAGCCACGGCUAACCACGUG